This 7228-nucleotide unclassified non-coding RNA is filed under the name Manduca sexta (tobacco hornworm). RNAcentral's name for it is "uncharacterized LOC115445393, transcript variant X1". Lineage: Eukaryota; Metazoa; Arthropoda; Insecta; Lepidoptera; Sphingidae. The record is from RNAcentral.
AGUACAUAUCGGUUGAACAGUUUCAUAAACUACGAAAAAUAGACUCAGGUGUCGCUAGUUGCGUCGUCUAUCUCUUUUUGUCAUAUCGCAUUAGAGGAAAAUGGAAGGGCAUUAUUGUAUGUGUAUAUGUACAAUCUUGCGUGGACAUGUGUACUGUACGAAUUCUUUCCUUUCAUUCGUUAUUUGCAGUGUUUCACUUUGUAAGCAUCGCUUUUAUUGCGAUUGAUUUGUUUUUAUUAUAAUUUAGUGAUAGUGGUUUAUAAAGGUACCUUUCUUGUGAGAAACAAGUGAUCCCAUUCUACUGAAUCAAGCUGUGAUAAAAGUGGACAUACAUGAUGAUGAGACGGACACAUCUCGCUAUGUGACCUUUUUACACACUGUGGUUUCUAAAGUGUACAUUAUGCGAUUCUGUCGAAGAUAAUAAAAAACUAAACCGCAGCUACUCGUUUUUUCAAGAAGUUACAAUAGUUUUACAAUGGGGUCGAAAAGGGCUCCGCCAUAAAAUAAUCAACAGGGACAUUUGUCGAUCGUAAAACUACAAUUCAUGAUUUCGAUACAAAAAAAGACAACAGUCGACGAUGGUGAAGCGGCCCCGGAACAAGAGGAGGCCGACAAGCGAUGAUCGGUGGGCUGGAAGCGAUGCAGAAAGAGGUUCCAGCUGGUCCGUCGGAGGAUCACGUCGCGGCACGCUCAGCUAAUGAGCGGCAGAGUGACGCGGCGUGUGAUGUGUGUGUGCGAUGUCGGGCAAGCCCGCGAGUGUGGGCGCGUCGCGAGCGGGUGUGGCGGGCUCGCCGCGCGUGCUGGUGUACGUGGCCGAGCCGCGCCAGCUAGAGGCCGGCGCCGCGGGACCCGAGCCGCCGCCCGCGCGCCACCCGCCGCUCGACGCGCUCUACUUGCCCGAUAACCUGCAGCCUCAUCUCUCGCUGCCCCGCGGGCCUCCUUACAGGCCUAACUUGGAUAGGCCUGAUCACCGAAAUCCUUCCAACGCCAUAUUCUACAAACCAUUGAAUGAAACUGAAGGCAAGUUGAGUGUUUAUGGGGCUGCAGAUGGGGUAGUGCAACGGGCAGACCUGUGUCCGAGUUCCAGGCAGUGUGCCAAAGAGCCCUGUAUAAAAAAUGACAACAGUAGAAAUGCAAGUGACGGUGGCUCUGUUGUGAAGCGUGAUUGUGCAGACCAAUUGGGUAUAGAUUUUUGUGGUGUAGAAACAUUUAAUAGACAGCUACCUGUGGAAACCUUAGAUGCAGCUACAUAUCCAAGAUGCACAAUCCCAGGAAGCUCUGAUAGUACUAUGCAUCCUGUUCAACAGGUAGAAAUUCGGCAUGGUCAAAAUCAAUUCAGUGAGAGUGUGACAGUACACAGUGGUGACAUAGUAAACUGCAGUGACAGAGAGCUAUCUGUGAGUAAGGGCUUUGUGAACUACCAGUUUUUGGAACAGAGUGUGUCACACCAAUCUAUAGUGAAUCAAAGUAUAAGCAUUCUUAAUCAACAAGUGGGUGUAAAUCGUGGAAUUAUCAGUGAAGGUGAUGGUGGCAGUGGUCCCCAAUUAGUUAGAACUGCAGAUGGUAUGGUCCUGGCUGUGUUGCCUGCCCCAGUUAUAGCACAGCCUGGUGACCUGGCAGAGCCUGCCUCCAGGCCGGUGUCUACUGACUCCACACAGACUGUAAUAGUGCCCUUGGGUUGGAGAAGGAUUGUCAAUAGUGCAUCUGUUCUCUAUAUAAGUCCGAGCGGCACAGCAUUGAGUACUCUAUCACAGCUGCGAGAAUAUCUUCAGACGGCUGGCACUUGUAAAUGUGGGUUGCCUUGUCCGUUGAGACCGGAGACUACAUUCAGUUUCGAUCCAAAGGUGGCUAGCAAACCUUAUCAAGCUGUUUCUGGGGCAGAGUUGACGAAAUUGUGCAAUCAUAAACGGAAACUACUGGCAACACUGCAAGCGCGCUCCCAGUCACCCGCUACGCCACCCCCGCAGAAUAUUGAACAAAAAAAAGUCGCGGCUACCGAGUCGACAGCAGUCAAGAAAAAGAUGAAGAAAAGGUCCGGAUUCGCAACUAAUGUGAGUGUCUCCCAAUUAAUGGUGCAGAGGGAACGCUCCCAUGGCGAGAUAAAGUCUCAAGAUUCGGAACCUUGUCGCGAAGUGUCAUCAGCUAUCGCGAUACAGCGCGGGAACAACACGCAACAAUCUUGUCUAUCAACGUUUCCACCAGCGCAACAGGGCGCAGUCUCCCAAGAUGGAGAUAUACGGCAAGAUACCCACGUCCACCGGAGUUCUCACUAUCUCACAGUGAACAGCGGGUGGAUAUCACAACAUCAGGAGAAUUCUGACAAUGGACAGAAGCUCAGCCAGUCUUCUGCUGUAUCAGCUAGUUCCUCUAUUAAUAUUGGAAUGCCGGUUUUAGGCACUAACGGCCAAAUAAUUGGGGUUAAUACUGGACUUAGUAAGCAUUCAAGCUACAAAAAUAUUUCAACCAUUUCUCAGAAUUUAGAAAUUGAACAAAAAGAAGAUAAGAAAGAUGUAACGACGUUGCAAAAUUCCCAUUCUUUAAAUUUAAAACACCCUUACAAAGAGGAAGAAUCACAAAUAUUUUGUGGUUUAAACCAACCGUUAACUCCAGAAGUAAUGCAAAAAAUUAACGAGCAACAACAGAUAUUUAUACAACAAAAUCAGAAGCAAAUUGAAAUGAAAAUGAAAGGUUUUAGGACACAGAUAGAAAAUAUUAGCCAAAAUAAGCAAAGUCAAAGUCAAUAUGUGCCUCAAGCUCAGUUAGUAAUACAGAAUGGUGCAGUGGUUAAAACAAAUCCAGCGAAAACGCCUCCAUGGCAAGUGAAGAGGAAUGACUCUAAUUUCUCUAAUCCUAUAACAAGUCCCGGACCGAAAUUACAAAAACCAGAUAAUACAGAUUACGAUGAAGUUAAUACAAACAUAUCGGAGGAUUCUUCUAGUUCCUACAGCUCGUUCUCGAGUAACGAACAAGCCGUGAAUCAAGCGAUGUGCUCGCGUGUACCUCCGUUACCGCAACACUACACCAUGAUGGGGCAACAAUGGCCUGCCACAGAUACAAACAAGAAAAAGACUAAAGGUAAUAAAGGCGGUAAAAAGAAAAAUAGUCCAGCGGAAAAUAAAGUUGUCACGAUUGGAUGUAACGGAAUGCGCCUCUUACAAGAUGCAAAAGGUAUGCCAUGUGACGAUCUAUCGAGCAAUAAUGUUCCAUCUUUUAUGGAAGACCCUAAUGGAUACUUGGCCCAGCAAACAGUAUUAUUGAAUAAUACUAUUUCGAAACAAGUAGGGAUAAAUUCGUCAUAUGAUAACAAUCAGUAUGAUAAUACUAAUAACAGUUGCUUCGUCACGCAAAACCAGGUGGAGAAAAUCAAGCCCGUUGUAAAAUCUAACGAAAUUUCUAACAUCUACAGACACAAUGUGCCAAAUCCAUCACUUUCUCCGACCAGCAUACCUGACAGUAGCAUGUUACCGGACAACGUUAUGCCUCAGUGUUGUAAGGGUUGUAAUCUAUCAAUGAAGAAUAAUAGCCCUGAGUAUACAGACAAUCAGGUGAGACUUAAAUAUAUGAAGCACAAUGUAUACAAGAUGGAAAUAGAUGGCAGCCAUGCAAUUUCAAGUCCCAAGCAUAGUUAUGAUGAUAAUCCAGUAACAUCGACAUUCAUUGAACGAAGUCCCACGUUGAACGACAACUGCGGUCCUAUACAGGCUGGAACUGUUAGCACCAGCAACGUUUCGCUCACAGAGACUCUUCAACCUCCAGAACCAUCGCCGACGUCAUCAAAUAGUUCAAGGAACACGGACACUCCACAUAGUAGCGGCAGCAAUAGUUCUCAAGUGCUACCUAACGGUUCAUAUCCAGUACCAAGUCCGGCAUGUUCGAAUUCCGGUUCGUGUCGCGACAAUUUUAACAGUAAUCCCCCGACACCAGGCAGCAGUCAAGUUUAUGCUUAUAAUUCCCCUGGACCGCCAAACAACCAGUCUAUUACUGGUACUCAAAUGAUGCAUUUCAUAUCGAAUCAUAACGUGAAUAAAAAUCUCAUGGAAGUAGAUAACAUAUCAACAAUGGUCGGAGUAAAAUCCGGUUUAAAAUCGUCUCCGGAUAUGUAUAGACUAGAAUCUCGAAGACGGAUAGAAAAUACCAUGCCGGGCUACUGUCCCCCUCCGCAUCUUGGCGGAGGUCCAGCCCACUCACUAAUACAAACAUGUUACGUCCAAACAUUUGUAACGACUAUGGCUAGUGGAUUUUCUGUCACUCGAGAUACCGUUACCUCGGUGCUAGCUGGUAAGGCAAAUACUGCAACUACAUCAAUAAAUGCUUCUCAAGCCAAUUUCAUUAGGCCGCCCCCACCGCCAAGCAUCAAUUUAGCCACCACGUACGCAAUACCAAAUAAUCAACCGGAUCCCUUCUUUAAUUCAGUAAACUUACCAACCAGCUAUCCUUUACAUAUAGCUGGAACAACGGCGCAGAGCAUGAUUACUAAAUCACCGCUAGAAAUGGUGCAAAAUGUUAUUGGGAAUUUGCCAGCUAAAUCGGAAACGGGAAUCACACAAUCAGGCUCUCUAUCACAAUUGAGGAAGACAUGUCCAACAACACCUGGCCAAAUUCUCAUAUCCUCGACUGGUCAAAUAAUUGUAUCCAACAAUCAGAUGCCGCCGCCACCCCCUAAGACUACGACCGCAACAUCGGCAAUUCAAAGCUCUGGCGCUGUGACAAAUGUCAGCGCGUCUGUUACUCAAGUUAUACCGACAGUGGGUACGGUACAGCCGAUGGUGAAUCAACCUACAGUGGUGGUGAAUACUUUACCAGCGCCAUUCGUUUUGCAGCCGCCAAUGGUAGCCGUGGACGGCCAAGUCGUACAACAGAAUGCCGUGUUGCCACAAAUUAUGACUGGAGGCAUCGUACCAGGGCAAUCACCGAACGAAAACACCAGGCAGCUCGAUGUUAAAAAUCAUCAUAGUUUCGUGCAGGGUGUAGCCAUGUUGUCUCCAGAGAGCUUAAAAAAGAGAAAUAAGAAAAAGAAGACUCAAUCGCCUAACAUAACGAAUGUUUUACAAAUAGCGGCACCACAGCCGAACCCUAGUAAUAUAAUGGUGCAUCAUACCUCGCCUCAACACAAUACUAGUCCACAAUUUUCACCUAGGAAUUUUCAACUGUCUCCAAAUAACAACAUAUCACCCACACCUAUGCUGCAAGCGCUUACUAUAUUGCCGGGCAAAUCUGGAACUCCAGCUCAUAUAGUAAUGAAUGGACAAGGUAACACAAAUAAUUAUGGUUCCCAGCAAAUAAUCGCCAACACGUCCCCGUCGCAACAAAUAAAUCUGUUACAACCAGUUAACUUAUUGAACAAUGCUAGUGGCGUCAUGCCAAAUUUUCCAGCUUUCCAACAAUUUAUCGUGCCUAAUCUCGGCGGUAUGGUAAUGACUGCCGACGGUACUGCCAUUAUUCAAGAUAAUUCUACCGGAAUGCCUAUGCAGCUUCAACUGCAAGCGGUCAACGGACAGAAUGUCCUUACUCCCAUGCAAAAUUCUAGCGUGUUCGCCACCGGCCCAAACAGUGGAGUUGUCAUUCGAGCUCAGAAUCAACAGAGCAAAAUAAUACAGUCCCAACACAGCCCCGGUGCUCAAUUUUUGUCUCCAAACGGCCAAGUCGUCAUGAAUGGUCCUAAUUUUAAUGGUCAACUGAGCCCGUUGCUCGCUAAUCUCAGUCCGACGAGUGUGACUUUUAACACAGCUGCUCAAAUGCGUCCCGGAAGUGUUCAGACGCAGGAAUACAUCCAGACAAACCAGGCCGGACAGACGCUAAUGGUACCGUUGUCGCCGAAGCGUGUCUCGCUCGCCUCCGCACCCACGAACAGGGGCAAUCCGACAUUCGUCCACCAGAACACGACCAUAGUGCAGCAGCAGACCACUUUGGUAUCCAACUCGCAGGGCGCCGCACAGGUGGCGCUCGCGGCCGCUCCACACGUCCGACCCUUCGGCGACGCGCUCGGCGCCAAGAAUAAGAGCAGGACGCUCGCCGAGGCGGCCGCGGAACACGUCCGCGUUGAGGAAAUCGUCGAACGGAAGAUCAUUGGCGGCGUUCGCCAGCGCCAAGCGGACGGCGACGGCAGGGAUGCGGUCGAUGGACACGCGCGCCACUCGGUGUCCACGCAGACGCUGGUGAACCAGGCGGCGGGCGCGGGCGGGGGCGGGGGCGCGUGCGCGGGCUCGGCGGGCGCGGCGGGCGCGACGGGCAGCCCGCCCGACACCACGACGCACAGCCCGCUGGGCGCGCUGGAGCCGGCGCCGAGCCCGCGGCUGUGCGCGGCGCGGUGCCUCUCCACGCAGGCUAACUACGCCGACACCACCACCGAGUCCCCGGAGCCGGCAGACGCUAACUCCUCGGCAAUGGUGCAGUGCGUGUCCAGCAGCGAGCAGGACAUGGCCGACUCGCGCGACCACUCGUGGUCUGCGCCACGCAAUGACUUCAGCGCAGACAACGACGCGCAAAGUAUGAUUUCAAACAUUACAUUAAUGCGGUCAAAUCGUCCUCACAACACCGUGGAAUCUACCGACAUACAUUACAAUCAAAAUAUGAGCACGCCGUCUAUGAACAACCAACAUAUAAUGGCUAUGACGUCAAAUAGUUAUUACGACCGAACUCACACAUAUAAGAGGAAGAAUGAGUUCGGAGAUGGUUCCACGUACAGAUCGGACAAAAUAAUGAGGACGAACAGUUACAAUGCAAUCCACGGACUACCCAAAGAGUCAGAAUAUGACACGCUUGGUAUUAGCUCUCACGACAAAUCGCACACGCGACAUUUUCCAUCUGGAUCCAGUUCGGAGAUGUCAUCUUUGCCAAAGUUGUUUGACCGACAUUUAGGGUCGGGCGAUGCUUCUACAUAAUGCAAUACUAUUGGUCAUUGGUUUUCUUUUGGUUGGGUUAAUACAAGAUACAGCUGUUAAUAAAGGGUGUACUGGAAACUAAUCAGAAUAAAACAGAGAUGUUCAGCGUUGAAACGUUCUCACCCGGCUUUCUGUCGCUUUCCAUUGCACCACAUUUGAACGUAACCAAAUUGGCUCACAAAUUGGGAUUCCAUUACUAACGCAUCAUUGUUAAGCCAUCAUCAUUUCAUCUGUUCAUCAUUAUACUAAAAGCGAAGACGAAGUCGACGAACGGCCGCAAGAGUCCAGUUGCGACAAACAAACGCACGACUUCGAACCGGGAGACCUAGUGUGGGGGCCCGUGAAGG